This 447-nucleotide ribosomal RNA is filed under the name uncultured bacterium. RNAcentral describes it as "bacterial SSU rRNA". It matches the Rfam family "Bacterial small subunit ribosomal RNA", at positions 355 to 825 of the family's 1533-position model. The record is from RNAcentral.
UGGGGAAUAUUGGACAAUGGGCGCAAGCCUGAUCCAGCCAUGCCGCGUGAGUGACGAAGGCCUUAGGGUUGUAAAGCUCUUUUAGCGGGGACGAUAAUGACGGUACCCGCAGAAUAAGCCCCGGCUAACUUCGUGCCAGCAGCCGCGGUAAUACGUAGGGACCAAGCGUUGUUCGGAUUUACUGGGCGUAAAGGGCGCGUAGGCGGCAUGACAAGUCACUUGUGAAAUCUCUGGGCUUAACCCAGAACGGCCAAGUGAUACUGUCGCGCUAGAGUGCAGAAGGGGCAAUCGGAAUUCUUGGUGUAGCGGUGAAAUGCGUAGAUAUCGGAAGGAACACCAGUGGCGAAGGCGGCUUCCUGGUCCAACACUGACGCUGAGGCGCGAAAGCGUGGGGAGCAAACAGGAUUAGAUACCCCCGUAGUCCCUGAGCGGGCUGGCAAGGCGCAU